AUUUUUUUAAAAAAAUAGAUUUAAAAUUUGGACAUUAUUUCAAAAUUUUAAUGUAAAUUUUUAAUAUUUAAUUUGAAUUUAAAUUAAUAUAUUAUAAAUAUAAUGUUAAUAUUUUAAUUUGAUUAUGUUUUUUAUAUCCACCUGAACCAAACACUGACAAUGGGAAUGAUUUAUUCCGAUUCCGAUUCAGGUGAUGAACCAAACAGAAUUAGGUAGUGAGUCAUUCCGAUUCCGAUUCCAGCUUAUUUUGAUUCCGAUUCCGAUUUCGACUCCAACUUCGAACCAAACACGCCCUGAGUUUCUCUUCUCUCUUAUUAACGUUCACGCUUCGGGGGCGUUUGGAUAGACGAAUCUAUAGAUCCAACGUAAGUCAAGUGCAGUGGUGUUUGAGUUUUCCUGAAGUGUGAUUAUUUUGUUGUUGUUUGUUUUGAUGUAACUCGUACAGUCUGAAAGUUUAAUUCAAUUAUUUCUUCUGUUUGUUUUUAUGUAACUUGGUCCUGAUGAAAUUAAUUUUUUGAGUUUUAUUGUUUGUUUUGAUUUAAGUAAGUGAAUUCCGUUAUCUCCUAAAUAUAGUGAUAAAUUUAACUUAUUAUAUAAUUAAAUUUUUUAUUAUUGUUUAAAGAUAAUCCUAACUUAUUAUAAAUAAGAUAAUUCUAACCCAUUAUAAAGUAAAUAGAAUUUAGAUUUUAUUAUUUAAUAAAUUUUUUAGAGGGGGUUGUGUGUGGCGGAAGUCGAGUUUGGCAUUUUAGAGGAGAAAGUCGAGAAUAGGUGAAGUAAAGGUCUAGCGUAACUUCAGUUACACUAUAUUUUUGACUUAGAUCAAAACAAAUAAUGGAAGUGAUGGAACUUGACUUCCAUCCCUUCACUUACACUAAAACAAAC
RNAcentral lists this long non-coding RNA (882 nucleotides) under Ananas comosus (pineapple). RNAcentral's name for it is "long non-coding RNA (ACOM_LNC002458)". The record is from RNAcentral. Lineage: Eukaryota; Viridiplantae; Streptophyta; Magnoliopsida; Poales; Bromeliaceae.